CCCUUAGAUGUUCUGGGCCGCACGCGCGCUACACUGAUGCAUUCAACGAGCCUAUCCGUGACCGACAGGUCCGGGUAAUCUUUGAAUCUGCAUCGUGACGGGGAUAGAUUAUUGCAAUUAUUAAUCUUCAACGAGGAAUGCCUAGUAGGCGCAAGUCAUCAGCUUGCGUCGAUUACGUCCCUGCCCUUUGUACACACCGCCCGUCGCUCCUACCGAUUGGGUGUGCUGGUGAAAUGUUCGGAUCGGCCGUUUGUCGCGGUUUCCGCGUCAUGUGGCUGAGAAGUUCAUUAAACCCUCCCACCUAGAGGAAGGAGAAGUCGUAACA
This 325-nucleotide ribosomal RNA is filed under the name uncultured eukaryote. RNAcentral's name for it is "partial 18S ribosomal RNA". It matches the Rfam family "Eukaryotic small subunit ribosomal RNA", at positions 1470 to 1796 of the family's 1831-position model. The record is from RNAcentral.